This 250-nucleotide unclassified non-coding RNA is filed under the name plant metagenome. Its description in RNAcentral is "partial contains small subunit ribosomal RNA, internal transcribed spacer 1, and 5.8S ribosomal RNA". The record is from RNAcentral.
GUAGGUGAACCUGCGGAGGGAUCAUUAACACUAUUUGAUGGAAUGAAAGUUCCUUCAAAUUUCUAUACACAUCGCGAACUCGUUGAUUCUCCUUAAAAAGAGAAUCAGCCUAACAAAACUGUCUCGAAGGUAAGGUAGCCGAUGCGACGUAGUGAACCGCCUUGGAAACAAGAUCGGUAGCUCCGCUUCCAUCCUUCGACGUGGUUCUUUUUUGGGAGAUAUGACACUCACAUAUCUCGUCCCCCUUUUG